Molecule: ribosomal RNA, 305 nt
Filed under: uncultured bacterium
Lineage: Bacteria
Description: bacterial SSU rRNA
Rfam family: Bacterial small subunit ribosomal RNA
Source: RNAcentral
UAUGCCUACGGGACGCAGCAGUGAGGAAUAUUGGUCAAUGGGCGAGAGCCUGAACCAGCCAAGUCGCGUGAAGGAUGACGGCCCUACGGGUUGUAAACUUCUUUUGUCAGGGAGCAAUUGGGUCCACGCGUGGGCUUAGCGAGAGUACCUGAAGAAAAAGCAUCGGCUAACUCCGUGCCAGCAGCCGCGGUAAUCCGGAGGAUGCGAGCGUUCUCCGGAUUUAUUGGGUUUAAAGGAUGCGUAGGCGGAAUAUCAAGUCAGCGGUAAAAAUUCGGGGCUCAACCCCGUCGUGCCGUUGAAUCUGA